Molecule: ribosomal RNA, 254 nt
Filed under: uncultured bacterium
Lineage: Bacteria
Description: partial 16S ribosomal RNA
Rfam family: Bacterial small subunit ribosomal RNA
Source: RNAcentral
CACGUAGGGGGCGAGCGUUGUCCGGAUUUAUUGGGCGUAAAGAGCUCGUAGGCGGCUUUGUCAGUCGGGUGUGAAACCUCCAGGCUCAACCUGGAGCCGCCACCCGAUACUGCAAUAGCUAGAGUCCGGUAGGGGAGCAUGGAACUCCUGGUGUAGCGGUGAAAUGCGCAGAUAUCAGGAAGAACACCAGUGGCGAAGGCGGUGCUCUGGGCCGGAACUGACGCUGAGGAGCGAAAGCGUGGGGAGCGAACCGG